AAUGUUAUCACGGGAGACACACGGCGGGUGCUAACGUCCGUCGUGAAGAGGGAAACAACCCAGACCGCCAGCUAAGGUCCCAAAGUCAUGGUUAAGUGGGAAACGAUGUGGGAAGGCCCAGACAGCCAGGAUGUUGGCUUAGAAGCAGCCAUCAUUUAAAGAAAGCGUAAUAGCUCACUGGUCGAGUCGGCCUGCGCGGAAGAUGUAACGGGGCUAAACCAUGCACCGAAGCUGCGGCAGCGACGCUGAUGCGUUGUUGGGUAGGGGAGCGUUCUGUAAGCCUGCGAAGGUGACCUGUGAGGGUUGCUGGAGGUAUCAGAAGUGCGAAUGCUGACAUAAGUAACGAUAAAGCGGGUGAAAAGCCCGCUCGCCGGAAGACCAAGGGUUCCUGUCCAACGUUAAUCGGGGCAGGGUGAGUCGACCCCUAAGGCGAGGCCGAAAGGCGUAGUCGAUGGGAAACGGGUUAAUAUUCCCGUACUUGGUGUUACUGCGAAGGGGGGACGGAGAAGGCUAUGUUGGCCGGGCGACGGUUGUCCCGGUUUAAGCGUGUAGGUGUGUGUUCCAGGUAAAUCCGGUUCACUUUAACACUGAGGCGUGACGACGAGGCACUACGGUGCUGAAGCAACAAAUGCCCUGCUUCCAGGAAAAGCCUCUAAGCAUCAGGUAACAUCAAAUCGUACCCCAAACCGACACAGGUGGUCAGGUAGAGAAUACCAAGGCGCUUGAGAGAACUCGGGUGAAGGAACUAGGCAAAAUGGUGCCGUAACUUCGGGAGAAGGCACGCUGACACGUAGGUGAAGUGAUUUACUCAUGGAGCUGAAGUCAGUCGAAGAUACCAGCUGGCUGCAACUGUUUAUUAAAAACACAGCACUGUGCAAACACGAAAGUGGACGUAUACGGUGUGACGCCUGCCCGGUGCCGGAAGGUUAAUUGAUGGGGUCAGCGUAAGCGAAGCUCCUGAUCGAAGCCCCGGUAAACGGCGGCCGUAACUAUAACGGUCCUAAGGUAGCGAAAUUCCUUGUCGGGUAAGUUCCGACCUGCACGAAUGGCGUAAUGAUGGCCAGGCUGUCUCCACCCGAGACUCAGUGAAAUUGAACUCGCUGUGAAGAUGCAGUGUACCCGCGGCAAGACGGAAAGACCCCGUGAACCUUUACUAUAGCUUGACACUGAACAUUGAGCCUUGAUGUGUAGGAU
RNAcentral lists this ribosomal RNA (1194 nucleotides) under Salmonella enterica subsp. enterica serovar Typhimurium. Its description in RNAcentral is "bacterial LSU rRNA". It matches the Rfam family "Bacterial large subunit ribosomal RNA", at positions 968 to 2144 of the family's 2925-position model. Lineage: Bacteria; Pseudomonadati; Pseudomonadota; Gammaproteobacteria; Enterobacterales; Enterobacteriaceae. The record is from RNAcentral.